RNAcentral lists this unclassified non-coding RNA (348 nucleotides) under soil metagenome. Its description in RNAcentral is "partial contains 5.8S ribosomal RNA, internal transcribed spacer 2, and large subunit ribosomal RNA". The stretch from base 1 to 120 matches the Rfam family "5.8S ribosomal RNA", at positions 35 to 154 of the family's 154-position model. The record is from RNAcentral.
GAUGAAGAACGUAGCGAAAUGCGAUAAGUAAUGCGAAUUGCAGAAUUCCGUGAAUCAUCGAAUCUUUGAACGCACAUUGCGCCCGCUGGUAUUCCGGCGGGCAUGCCUGUUCGAGCGUCAUUUCAACCCUCAAGCCCCCGGGUUUGGUGUUGGGGAUCGGCUCUGCCCUUCUGGGCGGUGCCGCCCCCGAAAUACAUUGGCGGUCUCGCUGCAGCCUCCAUUGCGUAGUAGCUAACACCUCGCAACUGGAACGCGGCGCGGCCAUGCCGUAAAACCCCAACUUCUGAAUGUUGACCUCGGAUCAGGUAGGAAUACCCGCUGAACUUAAGCAUAUCAAUAAGCGGAGGA